Molecule: ribosomal RNA, 403 nt
Filed under: uncultured bacterium
Lineage: Bacteria
Description: bacterial SSU rRNA
Rfam family: Bacterial small subunit ribosomal RNA
Source: RNAcentral
UGGGGAAUAUUGCACAAUGGGCGAAAGCCUGAUGCAGCAACGCCGCGUGAGCGAUGAAGGCCUUUGGGUCGUAAAGCUCUGUCCUAGGGGAAGAAUAAAUGACGGUACCCUUGGAGGAAGCCCCGGCUAACUACGUGCCAGCAGCCGCGGUAAUACGUAGGGGGCAAGCGUUGUCCGGAAUUAUUGGGCGUAAAGAGUGCGUAGGUGGUUUUGUAAGCGCGGGGUGAAAGGCAAUAGCUCAACUAUUGUAAGCCCUGCGAACUGUGAGACUUGAGUGCAGGAGAGGAAAGCGGAAUUCCUAGUGUAGCGGUGAAAUGCGUAGAUAUUAGGAGGAACACCAGUGGCGAAGGCGGCUUUCUGGACUGUAACUGACACUGAGGCACGAAAGCGUGGGGAGCAAACA